This is a long non-coding RNA of Glycine soja, 2143 nucleotides long. RefSeq lists it as uncharacterized. Lineage: Eukaryota; Viridiplantae; Streptophyta; Magnoliopsida; Fabales; Fabaceae. The record is from RefSeq and is a predicted model, not a curated record. The transcript is spliced from 5 exons.
GGUGUUACUUGGUGCACCCAACAUUUUUGUUGGAGCAUCCAAUACUUGUGGUGAAAUGGCAAAAAUGUCAUUCAUCCUAAUAAUAUAAAUACUCCUAUAUUUCUAUCAAUACAACUCGAAUCCUUCAUCUCUUCUUCCUACAGUCGCUUCUUCCUCUUUCUCUCACCAUUUACUUCUUCCUCUUUCUGUCACCGUUGGUGUUGGUGUUUGUUCCUCUUCCGCUCAUCCUUCGUCUUUCUCUGUGUUAGUGGUUGUUGCUGUUGGUGGUUGUUGGUCCUUCGUCUUCUUCAGUUCUUCUUCUUGUUCGUUGAAAAAUCUUCUUCGAGAUAAUGGUUAGAACUAGAGGCCUUGGUUAGGCUUUAGGCCAAGCAAUAGGAAAAGUCUUGGGGAGGAGAGAUGCAAGUGAUGAUGAUGCCCCCUAGCGGUGAAAGCCUACUGCAUCAGCCCGUAGACAGCGAUAACAAGAGCGUGUGGUCAAGGACCCUGCUACGGCCGCAGAGGAAUUGAAUGAAGAGCAGCCAGAAGCACCUGUUGAAGAAGUUGUUACUGAUGUUGAGGGUUUUUCAAGCGGAUCCCAUGACACAUCAAUUCUCAGAGAUUUUGAAAAUCACAUUGCUUUCAGAGUCUGGAAUGGAGAGGAACGUCCUAAGUUGAAGCUAUCUUCCCAUGAAGGAAGAUGGCUAAGUUCGGGAGGCCUGCUCCAGAGAUUAAAGGCCUUGCGGCGGUCAAUGGACUAAGUCCUUUGAUCGUCUAUUCCCUAGAUACGGGCGAUUGGAGACUAAUAUAUGCUUUUAUGGAACACUGGCAUAAGGAAACUAACAAUUUCCAUUUGCCCAUCGGAGAGGUGAUUAUCACCUUGGAUGACUUCAUGUCGUUAUUACAUCUGCUUGCUGUAGGGGUGUUCCACAGCUUCGAGCUACUUCAUGUCGAUGAUGUUAUCGAUACGUUGGUGGAAUUACUCAAGGUCAGCACUGUAGAGGCGAGAGCUGAGACGAUUCAGUGUCAUGGCUCUUAUGUUUGACUAUCGUGAUUGCAUGACGUGUAUGAGAUGAAGAUCGAGGCAUGUCACUAGAUCGUAGCAGUGCGAGCGUAUUUGUUGCAUCCUCUUGGAUGCACACUCUUUGCUAACAAGAGUGCCACACACGUGCAUGUUGUAUUCUUGGAUGCACUACGUGACUUGACACAGAGUGAGGGUUACACUUGGGGCGCUGCUGCACUUGUGCACAUGUAUGAUAAUUUAAAUGACGCAUCCAAGAGCACGGCGAGGCAGCUUGCAGGAUAUAUCACUCUAUUACAGUGUUGGAUCUACGAGCAUUUUCCGUCCGUUGGUUCCGCUGUUCCUGCCAAGGAUUAUGAUGAAAGGAGACCAUGUGCAUGUCGAUGGACCUCUGGCAAGACACUGCCCGUUUCCAUGUAUCGCAGGCAUAAGGAUAGACUGACCCCUGACGUGGUGUGCUGGAUUCCAUACGACAACCACCAUUCAUUUAGAGAAUUUGAGGUCAUCUCAUUAUUUUCUGGUCAUCUCAGAUGGGGCCCUUGACGAUCAUUCAUUGAUCGGAGAGGGUUGUACGACAGUUUGGCUACAUCCCGACUAUUUCGCCACAUCCUGUUGUGUUUUCACUCUCUGUUGAAGAAAUUGAUGAUAGAUGGAUGUAGUUUGGUGAGCACAUUGCACCUGUAGGGCAAUUAUGUGCAGUGCCUGGCCACUGUUCGCCAGAUUAUAUGGAUUGGUUUUACAUGAUCUCGCACUCAUUCAUGAGUCCAGCACAGCUAGAGGAUCCUCUUAGAGUUCCGCCAGUUUAGCAAUAUGAGGAAUUUGUUGAACCAGAUAUGUGUCAGCAACCGAUGGCGGCAACAACAUCUAAUGAGGCAGACGUUGAUGUGCAUCAUGUUCGACAUGUAGUGGAUGGCUUUGUAGCAAUUGGUGAUAAGUUGGAGAGGCUACUAAACCUGAGGAUCCUGACUGAAGAAACAGAAGCCUAUACUGUUGUUGAAAAAUGUAUGGGCCUCGCAAGAAGCUACAUUGGCCAACCAACUAUAGGUCACAGAUCGAGGCGAAGGCGUCGUACGAACAAUCAUUGAAGUUGUUUUAUUUUUGCCUUGUAUAUGUUAUUUAUAAUUUUUUGGAUAAUUUAUUUAUUUG